GCCGGGAUAGCUCAGCUGGGAGAGCAACAGACUGAAGUGCCAAUGAUUUCUGGAGGUCCCGUGUUCAAUCCACGGUCCUGGCA
Transfer RNA from Neolentinus lepideus HHB14362 ss-1, 83 nucleotides. It matches the Rfam family "tRNA". Rfam says of the family: Transfer RNA (tRNA) molecules are approximately 80 nucleotides in length. Lineage: Eukaryota; Fungi; Basidiomycota; Agaricomycetes; Gloeophyllales; Gloeophyllaceae. The record is from Rfam.